RNAcentral lists this ribosomal RNA (236 nucleotides) under uncultured bacterium. RNAcentral describes it as "partial 16S ribosomal RNA". It matches the Rfam family "Bacterial small subunit ribosomal RNA", at positions 96 to 334 of the family's 1533-position model. The record is from RNAcentral.
UGGCGGACGGGGUGAGUAAUGUCUGGGAAACUGCCCGAUGGAGGGGGGUAACUACUGGAAACGGUAGCUAAUACCGCAUAACGUCGCAAGACCAAAGAGGGGGACCUUAGGGCCUCUUGCCAUCGGAUGUGCCCAGAUGGGAUUAGCUAGUAGGUGGGGUAAUGGCUCACCUAGGCGACGAUCCCUAGCUGGUCUGAGAGGAUGACCAGCCACACUGGAACUGAGACACGGUCCAG